Molecule: non-coding RNA, 54 nt
Organism: Caenorhabditis elegans
Lineage: Eukaryota; Metazoa; Nematoda; Chromadorea; Rhabditida; Rhabditidae
Source: Ensembl
UUGACACUUUCAAGUGGCAGGACACCUUUCCGUUUUAACCUUUGUCAUCAAUCU